UGGUCGGCCCGACCGUGACAUAGGCGAUGCGCAGCAAAAGCAUAUGAGCAGAAACCCUAGCCGUGGGCGAGGGUGGAGGCCGCGAGUGGUGAUACUGGUCGGCGGGGUGGAAGGCGCGCAGUGAGGAGGGGAAACAGUUGUUCUGCGCACCACCGGGAGUCGCCGGAAUCCUCAGGCGUGGGCGGCGGCGGCGGCGGCGGCGGCCAGGGGUCGUGGGGCAGAGAGAGGGGGGUCGCAAGAGAGAGGGUUGUGGGGGAUUCUGUUCGGUGGGUUUCCUUGUUUUUUUUCAUUUCUUUUCUUCAGAUUGAAAUGGGCUGCGCGCGGCGGGGCACCAAAAUUUUGUGAAAUUGGCGCAAAUCUGACCCGAAAUUGGCGCGUUGGUCUCUGAUUGGUCCAUCUCGAUGUGCCACGGAUCCAUCUCCCUUUGAGUCAAUCUCG
Molecule: long non-coding RNA, 438 nt
Filed under: Hordeum vulgare
Lineage: Eukaryota; Viridiplantae; Streptophyta; Magnoliopsida; Poales; Poaceae
Description: long non-coding RNA (HVUL_LNC005177)
Source: RNAcentral